RNAcentral lists this ribosomal RNA (1345 nucleotides) under uncultured bacterium. Its description in RNAcentral is "bacterial SSU rRNA". It matches the Rfam family "Bacterial small subunit ribosomal RNA", at positions 40 to 1383 of the family's 1533-position model. The record is from RNAcentral.
CGGCGUGCUUAACACAUGCAAGUCGAACGAAGCUUUUAAGACAGAUUUUUUCGGAAUGAUGUUUUAAAUGACUGAGUGGCGGACGGGUGAGUAACGCGUGGGCAACCUGCCCUGUACAGGGGGAUAACAGUCAGAAAUGACUGCUAAUACCGCAUAAGACCACAGUGCUGCAUGGCACAGUGGUAAAAACUCCGGUGGUACAGGAUGGGCCCGCGUCUGAUUAGCUGGUUGGUGAGGUAACGGCUCUACCAAGGCAACGAUCAGUAGCCGGCUUGAGAGAGUGGACGGCCACAUUGGGACUGAGACACGGCCCAAACUCCUACGGGAGGCAGCAGUGGGGAAUAUUGCACAAUGGGGGGAACCCUGAUGCAGCGACGCCGCGUGAGUGAAGAAGUAUCUCGGUAUGUAAAGCUCUAUCAGCAGGGAAGAAAAUGACGGUACCUGACUAAGAAGCCCCGGCUAACUACGUGCCAGCAGCCGCGGUAAUACGUAGGGGGCAAGCGUUAUCCGGAAUUACUGGGUGUAAAGGGUGCGUAGGUGGUGUGGCAAGUCAGAAGUGAAAACCCGGGGCUUAACUCCGGGAUUGCUUUUGAAACUGUCAGACUGGAGUGCAGGAGAGGUAAGCGGAAUUCCUAGUGUAGCGGUGAAAUGCGUAGAUAUUAGGAGGAACAUCAGUGGCGAAGGCGGCUUUACUGGACUGAAACUGACACUGGAGGCACGAAAGUGUGGGGAGCAAACAGGAUUAGAUACCCUGGUAGUCCACACCGUAAACGAUGAGCACUAGAUGUCGGGGCCGCAAGGUUUCGGUGUCGCAGUUAACGCAUUAAGUGCUCCGCCUGGGGAGUACGUACGCAAGUAUAAAACUCAAAGGAAUUGACGGGGACCCGCACAAGCAGCGGAGCAUGUGGUUUAAUUCGAAGCAACGCGAAGAACCUUACCAGGACUUGACAUCCCUCUGAAAGCCGUGAUAACGAUCGGCCCUCUUCGGACAGGGGUGACAGGUGGUGCAUGGUUGUCGUCAGCUCGUGUCGUGAGAUGUUGGGUUAAGUCCCGCAACGAGCGCAACCCUUAUCAUUAGUUGCCAGCAUUUAGUUGGGGACUCUAAUGAGACUGCCGGUGACAAACCGGAGGAAGGUGGGGAUGACGUCAAAUCAUCAUGCCCCUUAUGACCUGGGCUACACACGUGCUACAAUGGAUGGUACAGCGAGCAGCAACCCCGCGAGGGCAAGCGAAUCUCUCAAAGCCAUUCUCAGUUCGGAUCGUUCUCUGCAACUCGAGAGCGUGAAGCCGGAAUCGCUAGUAAUCGUGGAUCAGCACGCCACGGUGAAUACGUUCCCGGGUCUUG